GCGUUGGUGGUUCAGUGGUAGAAUUCUCGCCUGCCACGCGGGAGACCGUGGUUCGAUUCCCCGCCAACGCA
This 71-nucleotide transfer RNA is filed under the name Paramuricea clavata. It matches the Rfam family "tRNA". From Rfam's summary of the family: Transfer RNA (tRNA) molecules are approximately 80 nucleotides in length. The record is from Rfam by way of RNAcentral. Lineage: Eukaryota; Metazoa; Cnidaria; Anthozoa; Malacalcyonacea; Plexauridae.